GACGAACGCUGGCGGCGUGCCUAAUACAUGCAAGUCGAGCGAAGUUUUUCUGGUGCUUGCACUAGAAAAACUUAGCGGCGAACGGGUGAGUAACACGUAAAGAACCUGCCUCAUAGACUGGGACAACUAUUGGAAACGAUAGCUAAUACCGGAUAACAGUAUUUCUCGCAUGAGAGAUAUUUAAAAGUUGUUUAUGCUGACACUAUGAGAUUGCUUUGCGGUGCAUUAGCUAGUUGGUGGGGUAAAGGCCCACCAAGGCGACGAUGCAUAGCCGACCUGAGAGGGUGAUCGGCCACACUGGGACUGAGACACGGCCCAGACUCCUACGGGAGGCAGCAGUAGGGAAUCUUCCGCAAUGGGCGAAAGCCUGACGGAGCAACGCCGCGUGAGUGAAGAAGGAGUUCGGUUCGUAAAGCUCUGUUGUUAGGGAAGAAUGGAUAUGUAGUAACUAUACAUGUAAGAGACGGUACCUAACCAGAAAGCCACGGCUAACUACGUG
This 499-nucleotide ribosomal RNA is filed under the name uncultured bacterium. RNAcentral's name for it is "partial 16S ribosomal RNA". It matches the Rfam family "Bacterial small subunit ribosomal RNA", at positions 28 to 507 of the family's 1533-position model. The record is from RNAcentral.